This 454-nucleotide ribosomal RNA is filed under the name uncultured bacterium. RNAcentral's name for it is "bacterial SSU rRNA". It matches the Rfam family "Bacterial small subunit ribosomal RNA", at positions 28 to 477 of the family's 1533-position model. The record is from RNAcentral.
GAUGAACGCUAGCGGCAGGCUUAAUACAUGCAAGUCGAGGGGCAGCACGGUUAGCAAUAACUGGUGGCGACCGGCGCACGGGUGCGUAACACGUAUACAAUCUACCUUAAACAGGGGGAUAGCCUUUCGAAAGAGAGAUUAAUACCCCGUAAUAAAUUGAACGGCAUCGUUUGAUUUUGAAAGCUCCGGCGGUUUGAGAUGAGUAUGCGUCUGAUUAGCUAGUUGGUGAGGUAACGGCUCACCAAGGCGACGAUCAGUAGGGGAUCUGAGAGGACUAACCCCCCACACUGGUACUGAGACACGGACCAGACUCCUACGGGAGGCAGCAGUAAGGAAUAUUGGUCAAUGGAGGCAAACUCUGAACCAGCCAUGCCGCGUGCAGGAUGACGCCCUAUGGGUUGUAAACUGCUUUUAUACAAGAGAAAACCCUGGUACGUGUACCAGGUUGAUAGUA